CCUACGGGUGGCUGCAGUGGGGGAUAUUGCACAAUGGGCGCAAGCCUGAUGCAGCCAUGCCGCGUGUGUGAAGAAGGCCUUCGGGUUGUAAAGCACUUUCAGCGGGGAGGAAGGCGUUAAGGUUAAUAACCUUGGCGAUUGACGUUACCCGCAGAAGAAGCACCGGCUAACUCCGUGCCAGCAGCCGCGGUAAUACGGAGGGUGCAAGCGUUAAUCGGAAUUACUGGGCGUAAAGCGCACGCAGGCGGUCUGUCAAGUCGGAUGUGAAAUCCCCGGGCUCAACCUGGGAACUGCAUUCGAAACUGGCAGGCUAGAGUCGUGUAGAGGGGGGUAGAAUUCCAGGUGUAGCGGUGAAAUGCGUAGAGAUCUGGAGGAAUACCGGUGGCGAAGGCGGCCCCCUGGACAAAGACUGACGCUCAGGUGCGAAAGCGUGGGGAGCAAACAGGAUUAGAUUCCCGGGUAGUC
Molecule: ribosomal RNA, 465 nt
Filed under: uncultured Klebsiella sp.
Lineage: Bacteria; Pseudomonadati; Pseudomonadota; Gammaproteobacteria; Enterobacterales; Enterobacteriaceae
Description: bacterial SSU rRNA
Rfam family: Bacterial small subunit ribosomal RNA
Source: RNAcentral